UACGUAGGGUCCAAGCGUUGUCCGGAAUUAUUGGGCGUAAAGAGCUCGUAGGCGGUCUGUUGCGUCGGUUGUGAAACCCUGGGGCUCAACUCCAGGCCUGCAAUCGAUACGGGCAGACUAGAGUUCGGUAGGGGAGACUGGAAUUCCUGGUGUAGCGGUGAAAUGCGCAGAUAUCAGGAGGAACACCGGUGGCGAAGGCGGGUCUCUGGGCCGAAACUGACGCUGAGGAGCGAAAGCGUGGGGAGCAAACCGG
Molecule: ribosomal RNA, 253 nt
Filed under: uncultured bacterium
Lineage: Bacteria
Description: partial 16S ribosomal RNA
Rfam family: Bacterial small subunit ribosomal RNA
Source: RNAcentral